GCCCCAGACUCCUACGGGAGGCAGCAGUGGGGAAUAUUGGGCAAUGGGCGCAAGCCUGACCCAGCAACGCCGCGUGAAGGAAGAAGGCUUUCGGGUUGUAAACUUCUUUUCUCAGGGACGAAGAAAGUGACGGUACCUGAGGAAUAAGCCACGGCUAACUACGUGCCAGCAGCCGCGGCAAUACGUAGGUGGCAAGCGUUAUCCGGAUUUACUGGGUGUAAAGGGCGUGUAGGCGGGACUGCAAGUCAGCGGUAAAAUCGCGGGGCUCAACCUCGCUCCGCCGUUGAAACUGGCGUUCUUGAGUGGGCGAGAAGUAUGCGGAAUGCGUGGUGUAGCGGUGAAAUGCAUAGAUAUCACGCAGAACUCCGAUUGCGAAGGCAGCAUACCGGCGCCCAACUGACGCUGAAGCACGAAAGCGUGGGUAUCGAACAGGAUUAGAUACCCGAGUA
RNAcentral lists this ribosomal RNA (449 nucleotides) under uncultured bacterium. RNAcentral's name for it is "partial 16S ribosomal RNA". It matches the Rfam family "Bacterial small subunit ribosomal RNA", at positions 328 to 792 of the family's 1533-position model. The record is from RNAcentral.